AUUCCCUCAGCCUUCAACACCUUGAGAGCUUGUUUGGAGGCCCUAGCAGGGGUGCAAAGCUACUCAUAUACCCUUGGCUGAAGACCAGUCCUCCUCUAUCGGGGAUUGUCGAGAUGGCAGGAUGAGAUUGUGGUCUUCCAUCCACACAGCUACCCCUUCACCAUGUGAUCUCUGCAUACCAGCUACCUUUUGCCUUCUGACAUGAACGGAAGAAGCCUGCAGCCCUCACCAGAAGCAGAUGCUGAUGCCAUGCUUCUUGUACAGCCGGCAGAACUAGCUCAGUUGAUCGUGGAUAACUGACAUAAGGAAGGCAAAAGUGGGUGAAGGAGGCCUGCUGAAUUGGGAAAUUGUUAGACAACAUUCUACAACGGCUGAACAGUGCUUGUCAUUUCAGUGCUGUACAAGAAUAUUAAUGAUGUGGAAAGCUGUCCAUUAUAAUAAAGUUCAAAAAGAACUUGCAAAAUACAA
This 468-nucleotide long non-coding RNA is filed under the name Homo sapiens (human). Its description in RNAcentral is "HSALNT0317986". The record is from RNAcentral. Lineage: Eukaryota; Metazoa; Chordata; Mammalia; Primates; Hominidae.